CCUACGGGAGGCAGCAGUGGGGAAUAUUGGGCAAUGGGCGCAAGCCUGACCCAGCAACGCCGCGUGAAGGAAGAAGGCUUUCGGGUUGUAAACUUCUUUUCUCAGGGACGAAGAAAGUGACGGUACCUGAGGAAUAAGCCACGGCUAACUACGUGCCAGAAGCCGCGGUAAUACGUAGGUGGCAAGCGUUAUCCGGAUUUACUGGGUGUAAAGGGCGUGUAGGCGGGGAAGCAAGUCAGAUGUGAAAACCACGGGCUCAACCUGUGGCCUGCAUUUGAAACUGUUUUUCUUGAGUACUGGGGAGGCAGACGGAAUGCCUAGUGUAGCGGUGAAAUGCGUAGAUAUUAGGAGGAACACCAGUGGCGAAGGCGGUCUGCUGGACAGCAACUGACGCUGAGGCGCGAAAGCGUGGGGAGCAAACAGGAUUAGAUACCCCUGUAGUC
RNAcentral lists this ribosomal RNA (443 nucleotides) under uncultured bacterium. RNAcentral's name for it is "partial 16S ribosomal RNA". It matches the Rfam family "Bacterial small subunit ribosomal RNA", at positions 338 to 795 of the family's 1533-position model. The record is from RNAcentral.